CACGUAGGGUGCAAGCGUUGUCCGGAAUUAUUGGGCGUAAAGAGCGUGUAGGCGGCCAGGUAGGUCGGCUGUGAAAACUCGAGGCUCAACCUCGAGAUGUCGGCCGAAACCAUCUGGCUAGAGUCCGGAAGAGGAGAGUGGAAUUCCCGGUGUAGCGGUGAAAUGCGCAGAUAUCGGGAAGAACACCCGUGGCGAAGGCGGCUCACUGGCCCGGUACUGACGCUGAGGUGCGAAAGCGUGGGGAGCAAACAGG
This 253-nucleotide ribosomal RNA is filed under the name uncultured bacterium. RNAcentral describes it as "partial 16S ribosomal RNA". It matches the Rfam family "Bacterial small subunit ribosomal RNA", at positions 524 to 776 of the family's 1533-position model. The record is from RNAcentral.